AGUGAACGCUGGUGGUAGGCCUAACACAUGCAAGUCGAACGGCAGCACAGUAAGAGCUUGCUCUUACGGGUGGCGAGUGGCGGACGGGUGAGGAAUACAUCGGAAUCUACUUUUUCGUGGGGGAUAACGUAGGGAAACUUACGCUAAUAUCGCAUACGACCUACGGGUGAAAGCAGGGGAUCUUCGGACCUUGCGCGAUUGAAUGAGCCGAUGUCGGAUUAGCUAGUUGGCGGGGUAAAGGCCCACCAAGGCGACGAUCCGUAGCUGGUCUGAGAGGAUGAUCAGCCACACUGGAACUGAGACACGGUCCAGACUCCUACGGGAGGCAGCAGUGGGGAAUAUUGGACAAUGGGCGCAAGCCUGAUCCAGCCAUACCGCGUGGGUGAAGAAGGCCUUCGGGUUGUAAAGCCCUUUUGUUGGGAAAGAAAAGCAGCAGGUUAAUACCCCGCUGUUCUGACGGUACCCAAAGAAUAAGCACCGGCUAACUUCGUG
Molecule: ribosomal RNA, 492 nt
Filed under: uncultured bacterium
Lineage: Bacteria
Description: partial 16S ribosomal RNA
Rfam family: Bacterial small subunit ribosomal RNA
Source: RNAcentral